Molecule: non-coding RNA, 626 nt
Organism: Cricetulus griseus (Chinese hamster)
Lineage: Eukaryota; Metazoa; Chordata; Mammalia; Rodentia; Cricetidae
Source: RefSeq, a predicted model, not a curated record
GCGCCUGCGCUCUUCCCUCUGCAGGCGUCUCCAGCCCAGGAGGCUUGGAGGACUCCUGGGUUAGAGAAGCCCCUCCCUCCGUGGAGGCUGUUGUGUUCUCAGGGACCCGGCAUGAACAGCAGCUCCGACUCGCCCGGGCGACCCACCAUCGCCUGGUUAGGUCCAGGCCUCUUGGGGAGGGCCGGGUCGGUACUGUCACAACCGCCGGUGACACCAGCUCCCACCGGCCUGUGCGCACGAGCCCAUACACACAAUACAAGUACGCGUAAUUAGGGAGACUCCAAAACAGUCCAUGUCUCCAAGCCUCCUUAGAUGGCUGCAUGACAUGUGUGUGAGGCUGGUUCCUGUUGCUGCAUUUAUAACUGCUACAAAAAAUGCCACCAUGUCACCAACAUGAAGAAGAGAAAAUUCUUCCUCAAUGGCAAAGUCCAGAAGGAAACUACCCAGAUUCUGGGACUCACCUAGCAAAGAGUUGUCUGUUGUGCCUUCCUACAAGGAAGAGAAACUGUAAUUUCUACUUGACUUCAUUCACUAAUGGUGCCUGUGAUGAUGGAUGAAGCCCGGAGCUACCUAGAAAAGAGACAGAAACAGGAUGAUGGCAGUCAAGACCAGACUUCAAAGGCAAG